AUCCAGGUAGAGGCACCAAACCCUGUUGUUCUCAUUGUUCAAGCUAAAUGUCAAUGUGAAUCUUCUUUAAUAUAAAAUUUAGCUACCUAAUUACACUACUUCAAUGCAAAAAUUUGUUCUUAAUCCACAGAUAAACACAAUUUCUGAUAUAUUAAUAUGUGCAUAUGCACUAAUGUUUACCUUGUCGACUUUGAUACCAGGGA
Molecule: unclassified non-coding RNA, 203 nt
Filed under: Hevea brasiliensis (rubber tree)
Lineage: Eukaryota; Viridiplantae; Streptophyta; Magnoliopsida; Malpighiales; Euphorbiaceae
Source: RNAcentral